CGCGGGUUACAACGACUCUUCAAUCUCUCGUGUGCUCGGUAAAAAGACUAAGUGCCCAAUUCCUGAGCCAUCAAUGCUUGAUAUCAACUUACCUUCAAUCACAAUCCCAAAUCUUGAGAAAGAGGUCACACUCACAAGAACUGUAACCAAUGUUGGACCCAUCAAGUCAGUCUACAAAGCCGUGAUCGAGCCUCCUCUCGGUAUAACUCUCACCGUGAACCCAACCACUCUCGUUUUCAAAUCUGCAGCUAAGAGAGUACUCACUUUCUCGGUUAAGGCUAAAACUAGUCAUAAAGUGAACAGUGGCUACUUCUUUGGAAGCUUAACAUGGACUGAUGGUGUUCAUGAUGUUAUAAUCCCUGUCUCUGUUAAGACUCGUUAUUCGAUGUAAUGAAAAGAGCCAUAUGAUGCUCAUGGUAUUUGCUCUUAUGCAAUUUGUUGCAAAUCUAAACUCUAAGUGUCAAAUCAAGAUCCAAGAUCAUCAUAAUAAAAAAUCAAACCACAAAUAACUUGGAUUCUUGGAAUCUCUUACACAACAAACAUACAACUAGAGAAAACUGUAAAGUUUCCUCAUUUAUUCCACACAACCAUAUACAUGCAUAUAAAAACUACUAUAAAAUGAAUCGAGACAAAAGGAUCCUCAUGAUCAUAAUCUAUAGCUAUAACAUAGCAAAUAUAUAAUCAUCAUAAUGACUAUAUAUUAUAAAUAUGUGAUAUUUUUAUUUACACAUAAAUGCAAAAAACCGGAAUUAGUUUGCUCUCCUGUGAUCCUAUAUUUCGGUGUAGACUCUUCUAUAUAUAUAUCAAAAGUUCAGAAUAUAAUCAUUCUACACUAAAUUGAGUAAUUCAGUCAAUCAUGAUAUAACAACUUCUUAAUUACAGUCACCUAACAUACUCAAUUAGUUAGAAAUUAUUGAUAUCCUCUUAUACUCAAUUGAAAUAUAAUUAGGUACACUAUUCGUAUAUCUAUAAUAAGAAAGACGACAAUUGGAAGAGUUAAAACUGAGCCAAAUAGUUAUGGUGGGAUAUAAUACAACGUUACAUAAGAGAUAAAACCGGUCAGAUUCGGAAUUACCAUACCCAGAUUAAGUCGAAUAAACCAAUAAUUGAAUCCGAACCAAAUUCGAAUCUAACCAAAAGUUCAUUCCUAGAGACGGAUUAUUUAUCACACAUGUCUAUAAAAUCGCUUCUAGUCCACAGAGUCACACACACUUCCCACUUCAGAAAAUGGAGAACUCUUUCCUAAGUUCCAAACUUGUGUUUUUCUUGGCAAUUGCUUUGGCCUUAUUUCUUAAUACAGAGCUGAGUUUUCUUACAGCUGAACGAGCCUCAGACAGUAACAACAAAGUAUGUAACUAAAGAAAAAAUUUCUAUUUGCGAAAAUCGCUAAGAGUUUACUGAUAUUUCUAAACUUUUCCGAUGUUUUUUUGGCGGAUUUAUUAGGUUUAUAUAGUGUAUAUUGGCCAAAGGGAACACGAUGAUCCAGAACUUGUCACAGCUUCUCAUCAUCAAAUGCUUGAAUCACUUCUUCAAAGGUACUUAACUUUAAUCAUCUUCAAAACAAGGUUCAUUAAACUUUUAAUAUCUAUAAUUUUAUCUCCAUUAUGUAUUCAAGACAUCUGAUAGGUCGAUAAUAAUGUAUUACAUACGUUUCUUGUCUCUCAAGAAACUCCUCUCGCCAUACUCUGUUUCUUCACAGAACUUGGACCCUCCUCUGUUUUUUUCUUUUGUUUUGUUAUGAUCUCUUCUCUUACUUGUGUCCCUAAUGAUAUAUACAGCAAAGAAGACGCACAUAAAUCACUGGUCUACAGCUACCAACAUGGAUUCUCUGGUUUCGCGGCGCUUCUUACAUCUUCGCAAGCAAAGAAAAUCUCAGGUACUCAACAAAACUCAAACUCACAUUUUAGAUCUUUAAGCGUUGAAUAUUUUUGGUUCCUAAACCAGAAUAUUGUAAAUAAAUACAGAGCAUCCAUCAGUAAUCCAUGUUAUACCAAACCGGAUUCUGAAACUGAAAACCACAAGAACUUGGGAUCAUCUUGGCCUCUCUCCAAUUCCUACUUCUUUUUCUUCAUCGUCAUCUGCAAAAGGUCUACUUCAUGACACCAACAUGGGAAGUGAAACUAUCAUCGGAGUCGUUGAUACCGGUCCCUCUCUCGCUCUCUAAAUCUUUCUCUCUCUCUAUCUGUCUCCUUGGUUCACAUCAUGUAUGUAUGUAUAUGCAGGGAUAUGGCCAGAAUCAAAGGUAUUCAACGAUCAAGGUCUUGGACCAAUACCUAAGCGUUGGAGAGGAAAAUGUGAAUCAGGAGAACAAUUUAACGCCACAAUACAUUGCAACAACAAGCUGAUAGGAGCUAAGUACUAUCUAAGGGGUCUACUUGCCACGACUGGAGGAAAAUUUAACAGAACAAUCAUCCACGAUUUCAAAUCCAACAGAGAUGCAAUUGGUCACGGCACGCAUACAGCCACGAUAGCCGGUGGCUCAUCCGUUCCCAACACAAGCUUUUAUGGUCUAGCCGGAGGUACUGAUUAGAAUUUAGUCACAAACCAAGCCUAUAAAAACCUUUGGAUUGUUGUAUUCACUUAAAUAAGUUAGGUUAAGAGUGAAGGUACCGGUUUUAUAAGACAUUAUCUUGUUUUCAUCAUAAGUGGGAUUCUUAUCAGGUACGGUCCGAGGUGGUUCCCCUCGGGCCCGCAUAGCCUCAUACAAGGUCUGUUGGAAUGUAGUGGGACACGAAGGUAAAUGCACAGUUGCUGAUAUGUGGAAGGCUUUUGAUGAUGCUAUACAUGAUCAGGUAGAUGUUUUGUCAGUUUCUAUUGGGGGAGGUAUUCCCGAGGAAUCCGAGGUCGAUAAGCUCAGCUUUAUCGCGGCUUUUCACGCGGUGUCUAAAGGGAUUACGGUUGUGGCUGCGGCGGGUAACGAUGGGCCUGGUGCUCAGAAUGUUACCAAUGCUGCUCCUUGGCUUUUGACUGUUGCUGCAACUACUCUUGACCGGUCUUUUCCUACAAAAAUUAUACUUGGGAAUAAACAAACCCUCUUCGUACGUUUUACUCCCAAAAAAAAUCAAAUUAGUUUGAGAAAAUAGUUAAAAGUUUGGAGUUUUUCUUUAACUUGUUGUUUAUUGUUGGUACGUUUUUAGGCUGAAUCUCUGUUCACUGGACCGGAGAUUUCAACGGGUUUAGCUUUCUUGGACUCAGACAGUGAUGAUAAUGUUAUGAAGGGGAAAACAGUUCUUGUUUUCGAUACUACUUAUCCUACUUUAUUUGCAGGGAAAGGCGUAGCAGCAGUAAUCUUAGCCCAAAAGCCUGAUGAUGUUCUUGCUCGAUACAACCCGAUACCGUACAUUUUCACAGAUUAUGAGAUCGGAACUGACAUUUUACAAUACAUACGUACUACCAGGUCUCUAUCUUGAUGCCAAAAAACACCAUUACAUACUUAGAUAAGUUCAUUUACAUUUCUGGAAUAUAUACAUUAUUGAUCCCUCAAACCAACAGAUCUCCCACGGUGAGAAUUUGUGCUGCUAGGACAAUAACCGGUCAGCCUGCAAUGACUAAGGUUGCUGCAUUCUCAUCUAGAGGGCCUAAUUCGGUGUCACCAGCCAUUCUCAAGGUUAUAAAGCCAGUGUGUCUCUUAUUUAUGUUUACUUCAAAGGGUUUAAACGUUUUUGAGUAAAUAUCUGGUAAUGUUUUACUCUGUAGCCUGAUAUAGCAGCUCCAGGUGUUAGCAUACUCGCGGCAGUGAGUCCGCUUGAUCCUGAUGCGUACAACGGAUUUGGACUUCAUUCAGGGACAUCGAUGUCGACUCCUGUUGUUUCUGGAAUCAUAGCUCUCCUCAAAUCUCUACACCCUAAUUGGUCUCCUGCUGCAAUGAGAUCAGCUUUGGUCACAACAGGUUCUUGCUUCUUCUUAUUCUUCUUUUUCAUAAACAAACCGACUAAUCGAUUUAUUUUGUAGCUUGGAGGACAAGUCCAUCUGGAGAACCUAUAUUUGCUGAAGGGUCAAACAAGAAGCUUGCAGAUCCAUUUGACUAUGGAGGAGGACUUGUAAAUCCCGAAAAAGCUGCUAAACCCGGUCUUGUAUACGAUAUGGGGAUCGACGAUUACAUCAAUUAUAUGUGUUCCGCGGGUUACAACGACUCCUCAAUCUCUCGUGUGCUAGGUAAAAAGACUAAUUGCCCAAUUCCUGGGCCAUCAAUUCUUGAUAUCAACUUACCUUCAAUCACAAUUCCAAAUCUUGAGAAAGAGGUCACACUCACAAGAACUGUAACCAAUGUUGGACCCAUCAAGUCAGUCUACAAAGCCGUGAUCGAGCCUCCUCUCGGUAUAACUCUCACCGUGAACCCAACCACACUCGUUUUCAAAUCUGCAGCUAAGAGAGUAGUCACUUUCUCGGUCAAGGCUAAAACGAGUCAUAAAGUCAACGGUGGCUACUUCUUUGGAAGCUUAACAUGGACUGAUGGUGUUCAUGAUGUUACAAUCCCUGUCUCUGUUAAGACAGAGAUCACGAUCAAGCCUUAACAAGAAAACUCAUUAUAUGUUAGAUGUAAUCAAAAGAGCCAUAUGAUGCUCAUGGUAUUUGUUCUUAUGUAAUAUGUUGCAAAUCUAAACUCAAAGUGUCAAAUCAAGAUUCAAGAUCAUCAUAACAAAGACCAAAGAUUCUCUUACAUAACAAACAUACAAAUAGAGAAAACCAUAAAGUUUCCUCAUUUAUUCAUCACAACCAUAUAUAAAAACUACUACAAAUUGAAUCGAGACAAAUUUAUAAUCAUCCUAGUGACUAAUUGACUAUAUAUUAUAAAGAUGUGAUCUCUUUUAAUACACACAUAAAUGCGAAAAAAACCGGAAUUGGUUUGCUCUCCUGUGAUCCUAUAUUUCGGUUUUCUAUAUAUAUCAAAAGUUCAAAAUAUAAUCGUUUUUACUAAAUUGAGUAAUUCAGUCAAUGAUGGUCUAACAACUUCUUGAUUACAGUCACCUAACAUACUAGUUAGAAAUUAUUAAUAUCCUCUUAUACUCAACUUAGAAAUUAUUGAUGUCCUCUUAUACAAAACUGAAAUAUGAUUAGGUAUACUAUUUGUCUAUUUGUAUAUCUAUAAUAAGAAAGACACCAAUAAUAAGAAAGACGACAAUUGUAAGAGUUAGAACUGAGCCAAAAGUUAUGGUGGGAUAUAAUAUAACGUUACACAAGAGAUAAAACCGGUCUGAUUCGGAAUUACCAUACCCAGAUUUAUAAGUCGAAUAAACCACUAAUUGAAUCCGAACCAAAUCCGAAUGUAAUAGUUCAUUCCUAAAGAUGCACUAUGUCUAUAUAUAAAAAAGCUUCUCUUCCACAGAGUCACACACACUUCUCACUUCAGAAAAUGGAGAACUCUUUACUAAGUUCCAAACUUGUGUUUCUCUUGGCAAUUGCUUUGGUCCUAUUUCUUAACACAGAGCUGAGUUUUCUCACAGCUGAAGGAGCCUCAGACAGUAACAGCAAAGUAUGUAACUAAAGAAAAAACGGUGUUCUAUUUGGGAAAAUCGCUAAGAGUUUACUGAUAUUUCUAAACUUUUCCGGUGUUUUUUUGCCGGAUUUAUUAGGUUUAUAUAGUGUAUCUUGGCGAAAGAGAACACGAUGAUCCUGAACUUGUCACAGCUUCUCAUCAUCAAAUGCUUGAAUCACUUCUUCAAAGGUACUUACUUUAAUCAUCUUUCAAAGAAGGCCAAUAUCAAUAUAUAGACUAAUACCGAUAUCGCGUGUCGGUUCAUUAAACUUUUUAUAUUGAUAAUUUUAUCUCCAUGAUAUAUUCAAGACAUCUAAUAGGUUGAUAAUAAUAUAUUACAUAUGUUUCUUGUAACCCAAGAAACUCCUCUGGCCAUACUCUCUUUCUUCACAGAACUUGGACCCUCCUCUGUUUUUUUCCUUUAUUUUGUUAUGAGCUCUUCUCUUACUUGAUACAGCAAAGAAGACGCACAUAACUCAAUGAUCUACAGCUACCAACAUGGAUUCUCUGGUUUCGCGGCGCUUCUCACAUCUUCACAAGCAAAGAAAAUCUCAGGUACUCAACAAAACUCAAACUCACAUAUGAGGAAAAUUCAUAUCUUUUGACUGUGAAGAAAAAGUUCCUAAACCAGAAUCUUGUAAAUAAACACAGAGCAUCCAGAAGUAAUCCAUGUUAUACCAAACCGGAUUCUGAAACUGAAAACCACAAGAACUUGGGAUCAUCUUGGCCUCUCUCCAAUGCCAACUUCUUUUUCUUCAUCAUCAUCUUCAAAAGGUCUACUUCAUGACACCAACAUGGGAAGUGAAGCUAUCAUCGGCGUUGUUGAUACUGGUCUCUCUCUCGCUCUCUAAAUCUAAUCCUCUCUCUCUCUCCUUGGCUUACAUCAUGUAUAUCGGUAUAUGCAGGGAUAUGGCCAGAGUCAAAGGUAUUCAACGAUCAAGGUCUUGGACCAAUACCUAAGCGUUGGAGAGGAAAAUGUGAAUCAGGAGAACAGUUUAACGCCACAAUACAUUGCAACAACAAGCUGAUAGGAGCUAAGUACUAUCUAAGCGCUUUAUUUGGAGGAAAAUUUAACAGAACAAUCAUCCAAGAUUUCAAAUCCAACAGAGAUGCAAUUGGUCACGGCACGCAUACAGCCACAAUAGCCGGUGGCUCAUUCGUUCCCAACGCAAGUUUUUAUGGUCUAGCCCGAGGUACUGAUAUAGCAAAAACCUUUGGAUUUUAUUCACUGAAAAAUUAACUUAAGAGUGAAGUUACCGGUUUUAUAAGACAUUAUUUAUUUUCCUUCAUAAUGGAUGUGGGAUUCUUAUCAGGUACGGUCCGAGGUGGUGCCCCUCGGGCCCGCAUAGCCUCAUACAAGGUCUGUUGGAAUGUACUGGGCGGUAUAUGCUCAGUUGCUGAUAUGUGGAAGGCUUUUGAUGAUGCUAUACAUGAUCAGGUAGAUGUUUUGUCGGUUUCUAUUGGGAGCCAUAUUCCCGAGGAUUCUGAGGUCGAUAACGUCGACUUUAUCGCGGCUUUUCAUGCGGUGGCUAAAGGGAUUACAGUUGUGGUUGCGGCGGGCAAUGAUGGGCCUGGUGCUCAGACUAUUUGCAAUGCUGCUCCAUGGCUCUUGAAUGUUGCUGCAACUACUCUUGACCGGUCUUUUCCUACAAAGAUCACACUUGGGAAUAACCAAACUUUCUUCGUACGUUUCAUACCAAAAUACUCAAAUUAGUUUGAGAAAAUAGUAUAAAGUUUCGACCUUUUUUUUACCAAAAGCUAAAAUUAACUUGUUGUUUUUGUUGGUAUCUAAUUAGGCUGAAUCUUUGUUGACUGGACCGGAGAUUUCAACGGGUUUAGCUUUCUUGGAUGAUAAUGUUGAUGUGAAGGGGAAAACAGUUCUUGUUUUCCAUAAAGCUCACCCUUCUUCAAUUGCAGGGAGAGGUGUAGCAGCAGUCAUCUUAGCCCAUAACCCUGAUGAUCGUCUUUCUCCAUACAAUUCUUACAUUUUCACAGAUUAUGAGAUUGGAACUGACAUUUUACAAUACAUACGUACUACCAGGUCUCUAUCUUGACGCCUAGAAAACUCUGUUUCGUAAGUCCAUUUACAUUUCUUGAAUAUAUACAUCACUGAUCCGUCAAACCAACAGAUCUCCGACGGUGAGAAUUAGUGCUGCUACGACACUGACCGGUCAGCCUGCAACGACUAAGGUUGCUGCAUUCUCAUCUAGAGGGCCUAAUUCGGUUUCACCAGCCAUUCUCAAGGUUAUAAGGCCAUUGUGUCUCUUAUCUAUGUUUACUUUAAAUUUUGAAUCCUUUCUGAGUAAACUUGUUAUAUAUCUUGUCAUCUUUUACUUUGUAGCCUGAUAUGGCAGCUCCAGGUGUUACCAUACUCGCGGCAGUGAGUUCGCUUGAUCCUUAUGCGUACAACGGAUUUGGACUUCUUUCAGGGACAUCGAUGUCGACUCCUGUUGUUUCUGGAAUCAUAGCUCUCCUAAAAUCUCUACACCCUAAUUGGUCUCCUGCUGCAAUGAGAUCAGCUUUGGUCACAACAGGUUCUUGCUUCUUCUUAUUCUUCUUUUUCAUAAACAAACCGUUACCGACUAAUCUAUACUUUUUGAAGCUUGGAGGACAAGUCCAUCUGGAGAACCUAUAUUUGCUGAAGGAUCAAACAAGAAGCUUGCAGAUUCAUUUGACUAUGGAGGAGGACUUGUAAACCCUGAAAAGGCUGCAAAACCCGGACUUGUCUACGAUAUGGGGAUCAACGAUUACAUCAAUUAUAUGUGUUCCGCGGGUUACAACGACUCUUCAAUCUCUCGUGUGCUCGGUAAAAAGACUAAGUGCCCAAUUCCUGAGCCAUCAAUGCUUGAUAUCAACUUACCUUCGAUCACAAUUCCAAAUCUUGAAAAAGAGGUCACACUCACAAGAACUGUAACCAAUGUUGGACCCAUCAAGUCAGUCUAUAAAGCCGUGAUCAAGCCUCCUCUCGGUAUAACUCUCACCGUGAACCCAACCACA
Molecule: long non-coding RNA, 8473 nt
Filed under: Arabidopsis lyrata
Lineage: Eukaryota; Viridiplantae; Streptophyta; Magnoliopsida; Brassicales; Brassicaceae
Description: long non-coding RNA (ALYR_LNC000865)
Source: RNAcentral